CUACGGGUUGCAGCAGUGGGGAAUAUUGCACAAUGGGCGCAAGCCUGAUGCAGCAACGCCGCGUGAAGGAUGAAGGCCUUCGGGUCGUAAACUUCUGUCCUUGGGGAAGAAACAAAUGACGGUACCCAUGGAGGAAGCCCCGGCUAACUACGUGCCAGCAGCCGCGGUAAUACGUAGGGGGCAAGCGUUAUCCGGAAUUAUUGGGCGUAAAGAGUGCGUAGGUGGUUACCUAAGCGCAGGGUUUAAGGCAAUGGCUCAACUAUUGUUCGCCCUGUGAACUGGGCUACUUGAGUGCAGGAGAGGAAAGCGGAAUUCCUAGUGUAGCGGUGAAAUGCGUAGAUAUUAGGAGGAACACCAGUGGCGAAGGCGGCUUUCUGGACUGUUACUGACACUGAGGCACGAAAGCGUGGGGAGCAAACAGGAUUAGAUACCCCAGUAGUC
RNAcentral lists this ribosomal RNA (441 nucleotides) under uncultured bacterium. Its description in RNAcentral is "partial 16S ribosomal RNA". It matches the Rfam family "Bacterial small subunit ribosomal RNA", at positions 339 to 795 of the family's 1533-position model. The record is from RNAcentral.